GGAACAUAGCAGCAGCCAUCUGGGAAGAGAAAGGAAUGAAGAUUUAAGAAAACACUCUUCUGACAUGUUCUCAUAGGUGAGGUUAAAGAGUUGGUCCCCUGGGAUGGAGGAUGAGAGCCAUCUCCUGGAGAAGAACUGAACUGCUGAAUACAAAGGUUAGGAAAAUUUUCCUGAUGUCCAAUCUACAUCAUGUUGAAGUGCCAGAUUCCUGAAGCCUGGGCUCAUGGGACUGUUUCUUCAAGGAAAUAGGAGCUCACGUCUCUACAACAUCUUAGAAUUUACGAAGUAGUUU
Molecule: long non-coding RNA, 292 nt
Filed under: Sarcophilus harrisii (Tasmanian devil)
Lineage: Eukaryota; Metazoa; Chordata; Mammalia; Dasyuromorphia; Dasyuridae
Description: lncRNA (ENSSHAG00000020769.1)
Source: RNAcentral